Molecule: ribosomal RNA, 254 nt
Filed under: uncultured bacterium
Lineage: Bacteria
Also listed under: 1 other name
Description: partial 16S ribosomal RNA
Rfam family: Bacterial small subunit ribosomal RNA
Source: RNAcentral
UACGUAGGGUGCGAGCGUUGUCCGGAAUUACUGGGCGUAAAGGGCUCGUAGGUGGUUUGUCGCGUCGUCUGUGAAAUUCUGGGGCUUAACUCCGGGCGUGCAGGCGAUACGGGCAUAACUUGAGUGCUGUAGGGGUAACUGGAAUUCCUGGUGUAGCGGUGAAAUGCGCAGAUAUCAGGAGGAACACCGAUGGCGAAGGCAGGUUACUGGGCAGUUACUGACGCUGAGGAGCGAAAGCAUGGGUAGCGAACAGG